This 266-nucleotide unclassified non-coding RNA is filed under the name uncultured Pleosporales. Its description in RNAcentral is "sequence contains 5.8S rRNA gene, ITS2, 28S rRNA gene". The record is from RNAcentral. Lineage: Eukaryota; Fungi; Ascomycota; Dothideomycetes; Pleosporales.
AACGCACAUUGCGCCCCUUGGUAUUCCAUGGGGCAUGCCUGUUCGAGCGUCAUUGACACCCCUCAAGCUCUGCUUGGUGUUGGGGCCGUUGUCGUUUCCUCGCCCGCCAGCGACACAGCGACACCCCUCAAAGUCAUUGGCGGCCUUUCUGCCCAGCUUCCCGCGCAGCAGUUCGCGCUUCGGAGACUACUUUGGCAGGCUGGCAUCCAUCAAGCUGACCCUUCAUGCUUGACCUCGGAUCAGGUAGGGAUACCCGCUGAACUUAA